CUGGGGAGACUUGUCCCUGGGUCGGGAUUUCAAAUCGAAAUUUCACACCCUCCCCCUCCUCGCUCGCUCUCACCCCUCUUCCCUCUUCCCUAAUCCCCAAANGCUCACUCACUUCCCCUCCCCGUCUCCGCAGUCGCGAGAGCCAUCUCUUCGAUGCAGGACACGCUCCUCGACGCGGCCUUCAAAGGCGACCUCCCCCUCCUCAAGAGUGAGUUUCUCCCUCACCCGCCUCCCGAUUUCGGCCCCCGGCUGUUUGGCGUUCCUCCGAGCUCUGAUUUUUUUGUUUUGGGGGGCGGUUGCAGGGGUGGUGUGGGUGCUGGAUAACGGCAUGGGCUGCCCCAGGGAGGCGGUGN
RNAcentral lists this long non-coding RNA (353 nucleotides) under Hordeum vulgare. Its description in RNAcentral is "long non-coding RNA (HVUL_LNC003061)". Lineage: Eukaryota; Viridiplantae; Streptophyta; Magnoliopsida; Poales; Poaceae. The record is from RNAcentral.